AACACACAGUUGAUUUCCUACAACUUUCUCUUGGAUCUCUACAACAGAAGCAUUUAAACAUGACAGGGAAAAGAGAGAAAAUCUAGAAAUCAUAACAAAUCUUUCAGAAUUGGCAAACAUAACAUGGGGGAACUUCAGCCCUACUCUUCCAAUGACCUUCGAUAUCAAGAAAAUUUGAAAGAUUUAUGAAGUACAUCUGUUUUGUUAUUGUCAACAACUGUUGAAGAAUAUACCUAACAGUCUGGACUGUGAGCAGACACUGGUGGCUGUGCAAUCUGAUAUGGUCAUUUUCCCUCAUGAGUAUUUUCCUGAUUAGGAUAUAUUGUAUGUUCCUUCUUUGGCAUAAUCCCAACUAACCCGCACUACUGGUCUGCUAUCCAGCACAGUCAAAAUCAAGCACAGAAAAUGUAUCAAAUGGAAAUAGAGUUCUUUUACUUGGAGAAGUGAUUUGGACCCCAGUACUGUGAAUUACUUCCCACUGUAAUCAAAAAGGCACCACCUGGUUUUGUGGUCUGAAUGCUGGUGCAGCAUGGCUCACCAUAGCCACCCUGUCACCU
This is a non-coding RNA of Python bivittatus (Burmese python), 557 nucleotides long. Lineage: Eukaryota; Metazoa; Chordata; Lepidosauria; Squamata; Pythonidae. The record is from RefSeq and is a predicted model, not a curated record.